Molecule: long non-coding RNA, 492 nt
Organism: Mauremys mutica (yellowpond turtle)
Lineage: Eukaryota; Metazoa; Chordata; Testudines; Geoemydidae
Exons: 2
Source: RefSeq, a predicted model, not a curated record
UGGACUUUGUUCUUCCAGCAAAGAGAGCUCGUAUUUAAACAUUGCAUAACACAGCAGCAAGAGACUGCUCUAAGCUCCAGCCUGCAGCUCACUGACUCUGCGGUCUGGAGCCCCACCUUCCAACAUGGCAGGGAGCUAUCUCCAGGUGGGAGGGGAGAAAGAGGAGCUCUCGCCGGAGACCCACCUCCAAAUGCACCUGCCUCUCAGCCAGACCUCCACAUCUGCACUGAAAAAGCCGCAGCAACCUCUUUGUACCACUUUUGCUGUUUGUUUGCUUUAGGCCAUUUCUGCCUGAAAAAUAACUAGAGCUGAGCCAAACACCUCGUCUCCGUCCCACAGGAAAUUCCAAUAUUUCAACGUCUGGUUGUGGCCCAUAGUGUGUCAGUUCAACAAAAUGAAAUAUUCUGAUAUGAUUCGAACUGACUGGAAAUAAAAGAUUUCAUUUUGAUUUUCCCAACCAAAUAAAUAAAUAAAUAAAUAAAUAAAACUCAA